UCUCUGUAGGUGAACCUGCUGAGGGAUUAUUACUGAGUGAGGGCUCACGCCCGACCUCCAACCCUUUGUGAACACAUCUUGUUGCUUCGGGGGCGACCCUGCCGGCACUUCGUCGCCGGGCGCCCCCGGAGGUCUCCAAACACUGCAUCUCUGCGUCGGAGUCUUAAUGAAUUUAAACAAAACUUUUAACAACGGAUCUCUUGGUUCUGGCAUCGAUGAAGAACGCAGC
RNAcentral lists this unclassified non-coding RNA (229 nucleotides) under uncultured fungus. RNAcentral's name for it is "sequence contains ITS1, 5.8S rRNA gene". The stretch from base 181 to 229 matches the Rfam family "5.8S ribosomal RNA", at positions 1 to 49 of the family's 154-position model. Lineage: Eukaryota; Fungi. The record is from RNAcentral.